RNAcentral lists this unclassified non-coding RNA (363 nucleotides) under soil metagenome. RNAcentral's name for it is "partial contains 5.8S ribosomal RNA, internal transcribed spacer 2, and large subunit ribosomal RNA". The stretch from base 1 to 121 matches the Rfam family "5.8S ribosomal RNA", at positions 35 to 154 of the family's 154-position model. The record is from RNAcentral.
GAUGAAGAACGCAGCGAAAUGCGAUAAGUAAUGCGAAUUGCAGAAUUCCAGUGAGUCAUCGAAUCUUUGAACGCACAUUGCGCCCGCCAGCAUUCUGGCGGGCAUGCCUGUCCGAGCGUCAUUUCAACCCUCAGGGUCCCUCCGCCUCGCGCGGUCGGAGCCUGGUGUUGGGGAUCGGCCCGCCCCGCGCGGCGCCGUCCCCCAAAUACAGUGGCGGUCCCGCCGCAGCCUCCCCUGCGCAGUAGUUAUCAACUCGCACUGGAGCGCGGCGCGGCCACGCCGUAAAACCCCCGACUUUUAGAAAGUUGACCUCGGAUCAGGUAGGAAUACCCGCUGAACUUAAGCAUAUCAAUAAGCGGAGGA